Long non-coding RNA from Myxocyprinus asiaticus (Chinese sucker), 2893 nucleotides. RefSeq lists it as uncharacterized. The record is from RefSeq and is a predicted model, not a curated record. Lineage: Eukaryota; Metazoa; Chordata; Actinopteri; Cypriniformes; Catostomidae. The transcript is spliced from 5 exons.
CCAACUGUGGAGCAACAGCAGCUGAGGAACAAGAAACCUUUGUUUUGACUUCUUGAAGAUAUAAAACUUUUUCAAUCUAAAUGAACUGAAUCGUGAAAUUCUGGGACAUAGAAAUCUAAUCAGUUAUUUCUGGUAAGGGAGAAGAACAAUGGUACCUUUCAUUUUCAGUUGAACAAACGCCUGUGAAGAAUUACGUCUUUUAGAAUUUCUGAGAUGUCCGAACUGUGAAAGGCAGUUAAUAAUCACCUGAGCAGCGCUGCAGUUGUUUGGAAAUCUAAUUAUCUGCUACGGCUGUUAAAUGAUGGCGGAGGGAGACCUGAAAAGGCACGCCAGAGCGGCAGAGUGGAGAGAGAGACCAGAGCCACCACCUGAAGCUGUGUGUUUUGCCAGCAAGAGCCCUUUUGUUUGAGUUUAAUUAGAAAGUGAGAAAGAGUAAUAAAACACUCACCUUGACGGUUCGCUGUCUCCUGACACCUCCUUUGCCCAGAAGGAUCAAAGAUCUUGUUACAUGGUCCAAAUGAGCAUGGCAAAGAGAGAUGUCCAGUGCCCUGUCCCCAUUUCAUUUGCUUCAUGCUUCGGAAGGGAGGAACUUCUCAACAGCCACAUCACAGCACACCACUGAAUGAUAAAGGCUGAUGCUCCUGUUCUACACGCUCUGUACGGGACUCGAACUGGCAUCUCCGGCAUGGGAGGCGGGUGCGCUAACAAGGAGGUUAAAGGCUACAGCCCCUAGCAUCAGUCGCUAGUGCAUUUCUUGAGUUUUGGAAUGCCCAAUUCCCACUACUUACUAGGUCCUUGUGGUGGCACGGUUACUCACCUCAAUCCGGGUGGCGGAGGACAAGUCUCAGUUGCCUCUGCUUCUGAGACAUUGAAUCCGUGCAUCUUAUCAUGUGGCUCACUGUGCAUGACACCACAGAGACUCAUGCUACUCUCCGCGAUCCACGCACAAAUUACCAUGUGCCCCAUUGAGAGCAAGAACCACUUAAUUACAACCACAAGGAGGUUACCCCAUGUGACUCUACCCUCCCUAGCAACCGGGCCAAUUUGGUUGCUUAAGAGACCUGGCUGGAGUCACUCAGCACACCCUGGAUUCGAACUCGUGACUCCAGGGGUGGUAGUCAGCAUCAAUACUUGACAUAUUAAAUUUUUGAAAGAUUUAAGUUUUUUUCUUCAACAUACUUCUUUUAUUGACAAUUUUGCAGCAUGUAGUCUAUUUUUCAUAAAAACAACAUGUAAAAGGUAGGAACAUUUGGAUUUCUCAGUGGAUUUCUCACAAUGCUGCCAAGAACAUACAUGCUGUAGCAAUAAAUAAUGCAAAAAUCAAAGUCAGUCAGCAUAAACUUCAUCUAUAAGAUUCCAGCGGUUAAAUUAAUGUUGUGAAAAAGAUCAAUAUUUAAGUACUUUUUAACUCUAAACCAUUGCUUUCGGUCAGCAGCCAUAUACGCAUCCACGAGAGCACUGCGUACACAUCUGUCACGUGACGAAUUUGCAUUGGCAUGUUACGGGCGUAGUCUCACAUUUUUCUCUCAGUUGAGACAUCCAGGAUAAGCACACAAAUGCACCAUUGUAAGUAAACAAACCGAUAAAUACAGAUCUAGACCCAAAUCAACUAAGCUUCUGUACAGCGUUCCUCCUACUCAGCUGUAAACAGCGCUGCUCUUCCGUGUGUGUCGCAUGUACGUCAGUUUUCACGUGAACAUGCCAAUGCGAUUACGCCACAUGCACAUACUGCUGCUGACCGGAAGCUAAGAUUUAGAGUUAAAAAGUAUUUAAAUUUAAAUCUUUUUCACACCAAAAGCGAUUGGGUCGAUCGUGAAAUCAUUUAACAGCUGGAGUCGUAUGGAUGAUGUUUAUGCUGACUGUCUGUGAUUUUUAGAGCUUUAAAAGACUGAUCACCACCCACUUUCAUUAUAAGUACCUACUGAGCUAAAAUAUUUUACUAUUUUUCUUCAAAUGUGUUCAGCAGAAGAAAGAAAGUCAUACACAUCUGGGAUGGAAUGAGGGUGAGUAAAUGAUGAGAGAAUUUUCAUUUCUGGGUGAACUAACCCUUUAUUAUUGCUCCCUCACAAUAAAUUAACCAUGGUUUUACUUUAGUAAAAUUGUAACAAACAUGACUGUAGUAACCAUGGUAAAUCUUGUAGUAAUGGUUUUCAAAUACCAUGGUUAAACAAUGGUUUCUUUAGUAAAACAAAGUUUAAUUUUCAUAACGGUUAUCUAUUUUUUUUUUUCUUCAGCAGAAACAAUAGUUUACUUAUGGGAGUAAAACCAGAUGAACCACAAAAUGAUAAUUUUGUUACCAUACUUUUCAUUGUCCUGUGUUAUUAAACAAUGGUUUCACUACAGGUAUCAUGGUUAAAAUAUGGUUCCUACUGAAACCAUGGCAAGUUUUAUGGUUAUGUUUUUACCACAAAUACCAUUGUUCAACUAUGAUUACUGUACUAAAACCACGGUUUUUUUUUUUUUUUUAUAUUUGUUUUUCUUUUUUUUGGCGAGGGAAAUCCUCCCUCUCUGCCCUCUUAAGGGGCUCUGUAUGUUUCAGACCUGUAUGUUAUUAUUUUGUGAAACACAAAAGAAGAUAUUGCAAUAUGGAAUUUCAGUCAACCACUCACUUAAAAAGAAAAGAAAGAUGCAAUGAAAGAAAAUGGUGACUGAGAAUGUCAGUCCCUAAUGUUCUGCCUUAUCUCCUUAUGUGUUUCACAGAAUAAAAAUGUCUAAGGUUCAGAACAACAUGAUGGUGUGUAUAUGAUGACAGCAUUUAAAUUUUAUGGAUUAACUAACUUUUAAAAUCUGUAAAAUUGACACUACCUUAAAAUUUGCCUGUAAUUUGUUAUUAUACAUCUAUUUGUGAAGUGUGAAGGCAUUUUAAGUUUUAAAGAUACUAUAGAAAAAGUUA